AUUUUGAAUCUGGCGGUUCACUGGGACCGUCCGAAUUGUAAUCUAGAGAAGCGUCUUCCAGCCCCGUGCCGUGUACAAGUCUCCUGGAAGGGAGCAUCAUAGAGGGUGACAAUCCCGUCUUUGACACGGAUCCGUCGGUGCUUUGCGAUGCGCUCUCGACGAGUCGAGUUGUUUGGGAAUGCAGCUCAAAUAGGGUGGUAAACUCCAUCUAAAGCUAAAUACGGGCGAGAGACCGAUAGCGAACAAGUACCGUGAGGGAAAGACGAAAAGAACUUUGAAAAGAGAGUUAAACAGUACGUGAAAUCGUUGAAAGGGAAACGCUUGACGUCAGUCUCGUCGGUCGGGGAUCAACCUAGGUCACUCUGGGUGUACUUCCCGCUCGACGGGUCAGCAUCAGUUUCGAUCGUCGUACAAUGAUGAGAGCGAAUGUGCCACGCUCCGGCGUGUGUUAUAGCCUCUCCUCGCAUGCGACGGUCGGGACUGAGGAACUCGGCACCGGCCAACCCCGGUGUCUAGGAUGCUGGCAUAAUGGCCUUAAGCGACCCGUCUUGAAACACGGACCAAGGAGUCCAACAUGCCUGCGAGUGUUUGGGUGCAAAACUCGAGCGCGAAAUGAAAGUGAAAGUCGAGACCUUCGUCACUGGAGGGCAUCGAUGCCCGGAUCCAUCGUCUUCUGACGAUGACUCCGAGGUAGAGCAUGCAUGUUGGGACCCGAAAGAUGGUGAACUAUGCCUGAAUAGGGUGAAGCCAGAGGAAACUCUGGUGGAGGCUCGUAGCGAUUCUGACG
This 787-nucleotide ribosomal RNA is filed under the name Tylopilus glutinosus. Its description in RNAcentral is "partial large subunit ribosomal RNA". It matches the Rfam family "Eukaryotic large subunit ribosomal RNA", at positions 113 to 891 of the family's 3401-position model. The record is from RNAcentral. Lineage: Eukaryota; Fungi; Basidiomycota; Agaricomycetes; Boletales; Boletaceae.